CCUACGGGAGGCAGCAGUGGGGAAUAUUGCACAAUGGGGGGAACCCUGAUGCAGCGACGCCGCGUGAGUGAAGAAGUAUUUCGGAAUGUAAAGUGCUAUCAGCAGGGAAGAAAAUGACGGUACCUGAGUAAGAAGCCCCGGCUAACUAUGUGCCAGCAGCCGCGGUAAUACGUAGGGGGCAAGCGUUAUCCGGAUUUACUGGGUGUAAAGGGAGCGUAGACGGUAAAUUAAGUCAGAUGUGAAAGCCCCAGGCGCAACCGAGGGACUGCUACGGAAACUGUACAGCUGGAGUGCUGGAGAGGAAAGCGGAAUUCCUAGUGUAGCGGUGAAAUGCGUAGAUAUUAGGAGGAACACCAGUGGCGAAGGCGACUUACUGGACCGUAACUGACGUUGAGGCACGAAAGCGUGGGGAGCAAACAGGAUUAGAUACCCGUGUAGUC
RNAcentral lists this ribosomal RNA (440 nucleotides) under uncultured bacterium. RNAcentral describes it as "partial 16S ribosomal RNA". It matches the Rfam family "Bacterial small subunit ribosomal RNA", at positions 338 to 795 of the family's 1533-position model. The record is from RNAcentral.